RNAcentral lists this ribosomal RNA (273 nucleotides) under uncultured bacterium. RNAcentral's name for it is "partial 16S ribosomal RNA". It matches the Rfam family "Bacterial small subunit ribosomal RNA", at positions 524 to 796 of the family's 1533-position model. The record is from RNAcentral.
UACGUAGGGGGCAAGCGUUGUCCGGAUUUAUUGGGCGUAAAGCGCUCGCAGGUGGCCCGCGGCGUCGUGCGUGAAAGCCCCCGGCUCAACUGGGGGAUGUCGUGCGAUACGGGCGGGCUGGAGGCCAGUAGGGGGAUGCGGAAUUCCGGGUGUAGUGGUGGAAUGCGUAGAGAUCCGGAGGAACACCAGCGGCGAAGGCGGCAUCCUGGACUGGUCCUGACACUCAGGAGCGAAAGCGUGGGGAGCGAUCCGGAUUAGAAACCCGAGUAGUCC